This 465-nucleotide unclassified non-coding RNA is filed under the name uncultured Archaeospora. Its description in RNAcentral is "SSU rRNA". It matches the Rfam family "Eukaryotic small subunit ribosomal RNA", at positions 569 to 1041 of the family's 1831-position model. Lineage: Eukaryota; Fungi; Glomeromycota; Glomeromycetes; Archaeosporales; Archaeosporaceae. The record is from RNAcentral.
AGCAGCCGCGGUAAUUCCAGCUCCAAUAGCGUAUAUUAAAGUUGUUGCAGUUAAAAGCUCGUAGUUGAAUUUCGGGGUCAGUAGGCUGGUCGUGCCACGGGUACGUACUGGUUUCACUGAUUCCUCCUUCCUGAGGAACCGUAAUGCCAUUAAUUUGGUGUUGCGGGGAAACAGGACUGUUACUUUGAAAAAUUAGAGUGUUUAAAGCAGGCUAACGCUUGAAUACAUUAGCAUGGAAUAAUGAAAUAGGACGAUCGAUCCUAUUUUGUUGGUUUCUAGGAUUGACGUAAUGAUUAAUAGGGAUAGUUGGGGGCAUUAGUAUUCAAUUGUCAGAGGUGAAAUUCUUGGAUUUAUUGAAGACUAACUACUGCGAAAGCAUUUGCCAAGGAUGUUUUCAUUAAUCAAGAACGAAAGUUAGGGAUCGAAGACGAUCAGAUACCGUCGUAGUCUUAACCAUAAACUAUG